AGUGCCGUAGGCAAAUCUGGUUAAGCCGCUUGUCUUUCAAACAGGUGAACUGCGGGUUCAAGUCCCGUCGGCACUA
RNAcentral lists this transfer RNA (76 nucleotides) under Caldora sp. SIO3E6. Its description in RNAcentral is "tRNA-Glu". It matches the Rfam family "tRNA". Rfam says of the family: Transfer RNA (tRNA) molecules are approximately 80 nucleotides in length. Lineage: Bacteria; Bacillati; Cyanobacteriota; Cyanophyceae; Coleofasciculales; Coleofasciculaceae. The record is from RNAcentral.